This 119-nucleotide microRNA precursor is filed under the name Marmota monax (woodchuck). Lineage: Eukaryota; Metazoa; Chordata; Mammalia; Rodentia; Sciuridae. The record is from RNAcentral.
AUUGGCAUCACCUGGGAGCUUGUUAGAAAAGCAGAGUCUCUAUCUAGUCUUCCUCCUCCUACCCCAGACCUACUGAAAUCAGAAUCUAAAGUUUAACAAGGUUCCCAGGUGAUUCAUAU